GAGGUCAACGGAAGGAAACCGACGGUGUCCGCAGGUAAGCUGAGCUCCAUGUUGCUGCAGCCGCGGGCGUGCGACGGCACCGUCGGGAAGUACGGCGUGGACGAGACCCCUUCCUGAUUUGUACUCCCGUCGGGCGUUGGCCGCCCUAUCUUCCCCGUCGCUGACUGGACCCUGCACCCGGUCGCCACAUGAAGGAACCAGGAAGGAGACCCAGAUCUUCCAUGCCCGCUGUCCGACCACCACGCGCCGAACUGCUGAUGCCACUUCCCGAAGCCUGGUCGGGGAUGCAGGUGGUGGAUACAUUGGCCCCGUCGCUCACUGCUGCUUCCAAGAUAUAUUGUCGCGCCGCCUCAGCAGUUCAAGAAUCAAGAUACACCGGCAACCGGGAAACGAGGAACUACAGAUGAACACCGCAACAGGAGCAACACAUAAUGUCAGCUUGCAGAUUUUGGUCAGUUCUAUUGCACAUUGCCGGGUAUGUAUUUCAGUUAGGUACUAGAAAUAGUAACUGAAAUGAUGGAUAAGGAAAAUGUUGCCAGCACUAGAGUGGCAUCAACACAUAUUUGGAUAGGCCAAGUUGGUGACCUUCUAGCGCUUACAUUUUUGCUAGCUCCAGUACUGACACCAAGAUAAGUCUGCGAGGAAACAUAGGACAUGCAGUGGGAUGAAAUCAUGUUGAUAUGUGCUGACAUGUUAUCUGGUUGUCAAACAACGAAGUACGCUUUACAAAGAAUAAUACAGGAGAUGGACGGCUAUGUUUAUCAUUGUAAUGUUGGAAUGAGAUAAGCACCUCUUACACAUAAUGGAAGGAGCCAGAACAAGAACUAUCUUACCAAAGAUAUGCUGUUGUGGAAAAUGACACUCUUGUAGGAGGUUUAGUAGGUGGUUUGGUGUCACCUAAAUUAUUCUGAUUUUGGUUGUCGAUCAUAAAGCUGUGCAGGGUUGCCUUGUGGUUGAGGGUGGUGGAUGCCGGGACGGCGGCCCCGGACGGUUGACGUGCGCUGAGGCGCCAUGGCUGUGUGGUACUCGAGGACAGGCUCCCCCGGAGGAGAUUGCGGCUUUCGCAGACCAUCCACGAGCCAAUGAGGCCGUUCCUUCAGAGGAGUGCACUCUCGAGUUGAAGUGUUGAACCCAGAAGACCCUCGAUGGAC
Molecule: RNA transcript, 1151 nt
Organism: Lolium rigidum
Lineage: Eukaryota; Viridiplantae; Streptophyta; Magnoliopsida; Poales; Poaceae
Exons: 5
Source: RefSeq, a predicted model, not a curated record